AUUAGUUUAGUGUAACGAGCACAUAAAAUUUUGAUUUUUAAAGUUAAUAAAAUUAACUAUUAAUC
RNAcentral lists this transfer RNA (65 nucleotides) under Halice sp. JL-2018. RNAcentral describes it as "tRNA-Gln". Lineage: Eukaryota; Metazoa; Arthropoda; Malacostraca; Amphipoda; Pardaliscidae. The record is from RNAcentral.